Molecule: long non-coding RNA, 2850 nt
Organism: Perognathus longimembris pacificus (Pacific pocket mouse)
Lineage: Eukaryota; Metazoa; Chordata; Mammalia; Rodentia; Heteromyidae
Exons: 3
Source: RefSeq, a predicted model, not a curated record
GGGGGCAUGGCUCAAAUGGUAGAGGACCAGCCAAUCAUGUAAGUCUAGAAAGAGUGAGUUUGUAAGAGUAGCAAGAACGAGUUUGAAACUUGAAUAACCUGGUAUACACACAAACACACACACACACACACAGAGUAUGAAUGUUAGAUUGUAACAAGGAAUAUUUCGUGUCAAGUCCAGAUCAAAUAACAGUAAUGUGGCUCAAAAACUGAGCUCUUCCAGCAUUGGAUUCAUAUAUGAGAAAAAUAAAAAUGCAAAUUCAUUUGUUGAAAAACACGUAUAUAUGAACCAUUGAUUCUACAAUAGUUUCCUUGAUCUCUCACUACAUUCCCUUUGUAAAAUAGUUAUACAGUUACAAUUUUUUACUUUAAACCAUUAACAUAUUUAUGAACAAUAGGAAAUAAUUGACAAAACUGUUUUCAUAAGCCUAGACAGCAUUGUUUGGGUGGGGAACCUUAACAACUUUGCCCUUCAUAUGAAUUCCAAGGCCUAAGUGAAAAAAGCUCGCCAAACAAGAACCAUCUGUGGAAAUUACAUUUGCUACACUGAAAAGAGACUUCAAAAGCCCUCCAUGAAAAAAUAUUUUGAAUGGCUGGUCAGGGAUAUCAAACAGGAAAAGAUGAAACUGCCCUGGUCUGCUUUUUUCACUCUGAUGUUAGUCAUUUGUAAAGCCAAAAUUCAGACACAGUUCCUAGUUUGUUGAGGUCAUAAUGAGCAGAAAAGUCAGAGUAAAAAACCAAUAUAACUACCUGGCUUCCAUGAAAUAUAUGAAUUAGGAGAGUUAUAAGUCAUUCAAGGUGUUUAUCUGACAUUCUGCCCUUUAAAGUAUCCCUCCUCCCAGUAAAAAGAGCAAUAACCUAGUCACAAAAUCCACUGAACCAAUAGCUAGCAGCGCCCACCUCCCUUUCACUGGCUGAACUUCUGUGCUCCAGCUGUGGCUCAGUCCUCAUGGUGUCUUCCAGGGCAGGCGGAACAACACCAGAUGCGGGCUCCUCUGCAUCCUCCACCCUGGAGCCCUGACACUUAUUUAUCCCUGCAGCUGCCACCAGCUGCCAAGCCCCACCCACUUCAGCUUUAUGAGGAGGGAGUAGGGGGACUCAGCAUUCCUGGUUUUCAAAUUUUCCCAACAAUAACAUCUACACAAGAAUUACAACCAAACAUAACCUGUGAGCACAUAGGGACAAGUUCUAUUUUAUUCUUUUUUGACAGCUUCUCUAUUAGAGACUAAAUUCCAAAGAAAAAAAUCAUUUUCCAUCAUUUAUCUAAUUAAAUUGAAGCAUCUAAACUGAGUCCUAACUCAUGUUUGUAGAUCAUAAUAUGUACACAUCAGUGUUGGCAUUCAUUUCAUUUGGGACCAUCUGAAAGUUUCCCAUUUUCAUUUAUCAGGGUUACCAAAAAUGGUGCUGUGUUGAAAAGAAUAGAAAAUGGGGGGAGAGGGUUGGAGAGGAGAGAAGGUGGGGGAAAAAUGAGGGAGGAGGUAACAAGUUUGAUAAGAAAUGUACUCACUGCCUUACAUAUGAAACUGUAACCCCACUGUACAUCACUUUGACAAUAAUUAAUUAUUUUAAAAAGAAUAGAAUGCAUAGUGACAUUCCUCCUGCAUCUCCUUCCCCCAAAUAGUUUCUUUUGCUGCCAGUACUAUUGCUUAAGUCCAGAGGAAAUAAAUGACCCAGGCCUCAAGAUGAAUGCUAUUUCAGACGGUGAAAUGCAGUUUUCAAAGGCUUGCGCACAGGAAGUUUGGUCUACUGGUGUGUCUUUCUCUCUCUAUUCUUAUCACCCCAUUUGGAGCCAAACUGUUCAGGCUUGAAUCACACAUCCAAGCAGCACUGCUAUGCACAUGAGCCUCAAAGAAAUCCAGGCUGUGCUGAGACACACUGGCUCCAGAAAAGCAGCACCAAAACAAACAAACAGAAAAACCUGGUAUCAAGAAGUCCAUCAGAAGAAAGUCUUCAAGACAUUUUAGAAACCACUUCAAGAAGCCUUGUAAGGAAAGCUCAGAACAGAAAUUUGUCUCACUAGCUAUCUCUCCGUCUUUGCUCUGUUGUCCAGUUCCUCCCAAUCAUCACACAGUAUCUUCCACUCCCUGUAACCCUAAACCAGAGUACCUUGUCCAGCUAGGACUCUGGGAAGAGGGCCCAAUGAAUAAUCAUGGUACCAAGUGUAACCUAGGCUUUGUCCUGGCACUCAGCUGCAUAGCCACUUUCCUAGACUGCCAUUUUCACAGAAGCUUUGCUUGGCCACUAGUAAGGCUGGGGUGGGGGAGGGGACAUCCUCCCGGGACUGCAAGUCCCACCCAGUUUUCUAACCCAGUAGUCUACCACUCAAUUAUUCAAUUUCAUGCAGGACAGAGCCUAAAUACCUCAACUGGCUUAAAACAUUACUGCUAAGAAUUUAGAAAGUAGGUCACUUCAAAUCAAAUUAUUUAGAAUAGUUUUUCUUCCAUUCCCUUUUCCCCCUUCCCCAUACUUCAAAUAUAUAAAAAGAAACUGUGAAGAGGAAGCAAUCUCUUCAAAGAAUACCUAGAAAAGUGAGUGUGCAACUCUUUCCCCUCACCAUUGAAACAAAACUAAGAGCUGAGAAUAGGAUUUUUUUUUUUAAAGCUUCCUUUCUCCUCCAAAGGACUGUGUCUGACAUUGCCCUACCACAGCUUCAUAGACCUCAAUACAAAAUACCAAGUAGCUUCUCAACCACCCAGUCCCCUUGUGAUCAACAUCAGCUAGUCUAAGCCACAGGACUGAAAAGGCCCUGCAUAAAUAAAUUAUGCAGAAAACCCACUGAUUACCCAUCACUCAGUUGAAAGGGCUUUUUUUUUUCUCCUUUUUUGCCAGUACUGGGGCUUGAACUCAGGGC